This 3274-nucleotide ribosomal RNA is filed under the name Pogostemon cablin (patchouli). Its description in RNAcentral is "eukaryotic LSU rRNA". It matches the Rfam family "Eukaryotic large subunit ribosomal RNA". Lineage: Eukaryota; Viridiplantae; Streptophyta; Magnoliopsida; Lamiales; Lamiaceae. The record is from RNAcentral.
GCAACCCAGGUCAGGCAGGAUCACCCGUUGAGUUUAAGCAUAUCAAUAAGCGGAGAAAAAGAAACUUAUAAGGAUUCCCCUAGUAACGGCGAGCAAACCGAGAAUAGCCUAACUUGAGAAUUGGGCAGCCACGCUGUUCGAAUUAUAGUCUGGAAAAGCAUCCUCAACUGUGGAUCGGAGUCGAGUCCCCUGGAAUGGCGCUCCAUAGAGGGUGAGAGCCCCGUUGCUCUCGAACCCUGUCGCACCAUGAGGCACUGUCGGCGAGUUGGGUUGUUUGGGAAUGCAGCCUUAAUUGGGCGGUAAAUUCCAUUUAAGGCUAAAUACAGGCGAGAGACCGGUAGCGAACAAGUACCACGAGGUAAAGAUGAAAAGGACUUUGAAAAGAGAGUCAAAGAGUACUUGAAAUUGUCAGGAGGGAAGCGAAUGGGGAUCGACGAUGCAUCCCGUUCGGAUGUGGAUCGGCAAGAGUCGAUCUGCCGAUCGACUUAGGACGUGGACCAGCACAGAUCGGGUGGUCGAUAUGCUCAUUGUAUAUGCUCAUGUCAUGCCGAUCCAGUGGACCAGCAUAGAUCCAGAUCGAUAUGCUCGUGCGUGCCUCGGCAACUGAGCACUCCUGGUGCUUGCCUGUGGGCUCCCCAUUCGACCCGUCUUGAAACAUGAACUAAAAAGUCUUACAUGUGCGCAAGUGAACGGGCGAUUAAACUUGUAAGGUGCAAGGAAGCUGACCGGCGCGAUCCUCCCGAGGGGUGCACCAUCGACCGACCUUGAUCUUUUGAGAAGGGUUCUAGUGAGCGUACCUGUCGGGACCCGAAAGAUGGUGAACUAUGCCUGAGCCGGACGAAGCCUGAGAAAAAUCUGAUGGAGGCCCGCAAUUAUACUGGCGUGCAAAUCGUUCGUCUGACUUGGGUAUAGGGGCGAAAGAAUAAUCAAACCGUCUAGUAGAUUGUUCCCUUCGAAGUUUUCCUUAGGAUAGCUGGAGCUCUAGUGCGAGUUCUAUCGGGUAAAGCCACUGACUAAAGGUAUCGGGGGUGCAAUGCCCUCGACCUAUUCUCAAACUUUAAAUAUGUAGGACAGUGAAGCUGCUCCAUUGAGCCACGCCAAAGAAUCGUGAGCUCCAAGUGGGCCAUUUUUGUUAAGCAGAACUAACAAUGCGGGAUGAACCAAAAACUGGGUUAUGGUGCCUAACUGCGCACUAACCUAGAUCCCACAAAAGGUGUUGGUCGAUUAAGACAGCAAGAUGGUGGUCAUGGAAGUCAAAAUCCACUAAGAAGUGUGUAACAACUCACCUGCUGAAUCAACUAACCCCGAAAAUAGAUGUGCUGAAGUGCGCGACCUAUACCCGGCCAUCGGGGCAAGGGCCAUGCCCCAUUGAGUAGGAGGGCCCAGGUAGAGCGGUCAUCGGUGCAAAUCUUAGUGGCCGAAAAGGGGAAAGGUUCCAUGUGAACGACACUUGAACAUGGGUUAGUCGAUUCUAAGGGUCGGGAGAAGCCUAACAGACAGCGCGUGCUCCGAAUGAGAAUCGGGUUAAAAUUCCGAAACUGGGAUGCGCGGUUGACGACAAUGUUAUGGAGUCUUGAUACAUCGGCGGGGGCCACGGGAAGAGUUAUCUUUACUAUUUAACAGCCCGCCCACUCUGGAAACGGUUCAGCUAGAGGUAGGGUCCAGCUACUGGAAGAGCACCGCACGUCGGGUGGUGUCCGGUGUGUCCCCGACGGCCCCUAUAAAUCUAGAGGAUCGAGUACAGUCCUCGCUCGGUCGUACUCAUAACCGCAUUAGGUCUCCAAGGUGAACAACCUCUGGUCGAUGGAACAAUGUAGGCAAGGGAAGUCGACAAAAUGGAUCCGUAACCUCGGGAAAAGGAUUGGCUCUGAGGGCUGGGCAUGGGGGUCCCAGUCCCAAACCCAUUGGCUGUCGGUGAACUGCUCGAGCUGCUUGCGCGGCAAGAGCGAGUCAUCUCUUGUUGGCCAGGGGACGGACUGGGAAUCGCUCCCUCGGGGGCCUUACCCGAGCAUCGAACAGUCGACUCAGAACUGGUACGGACAAGGGGAAUCUGACUAUUUAAUUAAAAUAAAGCAUUGCGAUGGUCCCUGCGGAUGCUCACGCAAUGUGAUUUCUGCCCAGUGCUCUGAAUGUCAAAGUGGAAAAUUCAACCAAGCGUGGGUAAAUGGCGAGAGUAACUAUGACUCUCUUAAGGUAGCCAAAUGCCUCAUCAUCUAAUUAGUGACACGCAUGAUGGAUUAAUGAGAUUGCCACUAUCCCUGUCUACUAUCCAGCGAAACCACAGCCAAGGGAAUGGGCCUGGCAGAAUCAGCGAGAAAAGAAGACCCUAUUGAGCUUGACUCUAGUCCGACUUUGUGAAAUGACAUGAGAGGUGUAGGAUAAGUGGAAGCCAAAAGGCAAAACUGAAAUAUCACUACUUUUAAUGUUAUUUUACUUAUUUCGUGAAUCAAAGGCGGGGCAUCGCCCCUCUUUUUGGACCCAAGGCUCGUCCCAGUGGGCUAAUCUGGGCGGAAGACAUUAUCAGGUGGGGAAUUUAGCUAGGGCGGCACAUCUGUUAAAGAUAACGUAAGUGUCCUAAGAUGAGCUCAACGAGAACAAAAAUCUCAUGUGGAAUAGAAGAGUAAAAGCUCGUUUGAUUUUGAUUUCCAGUACGAAAUCAAAUCGUGAAAGCGUGGCCAAAUGAUCCUUUACACCUUCAGAAUUUGAAGCUAGAGGUGUCAAAAAAGUUACCAUAGGGAUAACUGGCUUGUGGCAGCCAAGCGUUCAUAGCGACGUUGCUUUUUGAUCCUUCGAUGUCGGCUCUUCCUAUCAUUCUGAAGCAGAAUUCACCAAGUGUUGGAUUGUUCACCCACCAAUAGAGAACGUGAGCUAGGUUUAGACCGUCAUGAGACAGGUUAGUUUUACUCUACUGGUGAUAGUGUCGCAAUACUAAUUCAACCUAGUACGAGAGGAACCAUUGAUUCGAACAAUUGGUUAUCGCGCUUGGUUGAAAAGCCAGUGGCGCUGAGCUACCGCGCGCUGGAUUAUGACUGAAUGCCUCUAAGUCAGAAUCCAUGCUAGACGCGAUGCAUGCACACGCCGUCCGCUCCCCGACCCACAGUAGGGGCCCCCGUGCCCCUAAGGGCACGUGUUAUUUGCCAAGCCCCCAUGGCGGACUAGCCAUGUGGGCCGCCUCGAAGUACAAUUCCAAUCGAGCAGCGGUAGAAUCCUUUGCAGACGACUUAAAUACACGACGGGGUAUUGUAAGUGGCAGAGUGGCCUUACUGCCACGAUC